This 497-nucleotide ribosomal RNA is filed under the name uncultured bacterium. Its description in RNAcentral is "partial 16S ribosomal RNA". It matches the Rfam family "Bacterial small subunit ribosomal RNA", at positions 28 to 507 of the family's 1533-position model. The record is from RNAcentral.
GAUGAACGCUGGCGGCGUGCCUAAUACAUGCAAGUCGAGCGAACGGACGAGAAGCUUGCUUCUCUGAUGUUAGCGGCGGACGGGUGAGUAACACGUGGAUAACCUACCUAUAAGACUUGGAUAACUUCGGGAAACCGGAGCUACUACCGGAUAAUAUUUUGAACCGCAUGGUUCAAAAGUGAAAGACGGUCUUGCUGUCACUUAUAGAUGGAUCCGCGCUGCAUUAGCUAGUUGGUAAGGUAACGGCUUACCAAGGCAACGAUGCAUAGCCGACCUGAGAGGGUGAUCGGCCACACUGGAACUGAGACACGGUCCAGACUCCUACGGGAGGCAGCAGUAGGGAAUAUUCCGCAAUGGGCGAAAGCCUGACGGAGCAACGCCGCGUGAGUGAUGAAGGUCUUCGGAUCGUAAAACUCUGUUAUUAGGGAAGAAAAUAUGUGUAAGUAACUGUGCACAUCUUGACGGUACCUAAUCAGAAAGCCACGGCUAACUACGUG